AUUGUACGCUGGCGGCAUGCUUUACACAUGCAAGUCGAACGGCAGCGCGGGCUUCGGCCUGGCGGCGAGUGGCGAACGGGUGAGUAAUACAUCGGAACGUGCCCAGUAGUGGGGGAUAGCUCGGCGAAAGCCGGAUUAAUACCGCAUACGACCUGAGGGUGAAAGCGGGGGAUCUUCGGACCUCGCGCUAUUGGAGCGGCCGAUGGCAGAUUAGCUAGUUGGUGGGGUAAAGGCCUACCAAGGCGACGAUCCGUAGCUGGUCUGAGAGGACGACCAGCCACACUGGGACUGAGACACGGCCCAGACUCCUACGGGAGGCAGCAGUGGGGAAUUUUGGACAAUGGGCGAAAGCCUGAUCCAGCAAUGCCGCGUGUGUGAUGAAGGCCUUCGGGUUGUAAAGCACUUUUGGCGGGAACGAAAAGGACUGUGCCAAUACCACGGUUCGAUGACGGUACCCGCAGAAUAAGCACCGGCUAACUACGUG
Molecule: ribosomal RNA, 484 nt
Filed under: uncultured bacterium
Lineage: Bacteria
Description: partial 16S ribosomal RNA
Rfam family: Bacterial small subunit ribosomal RNA
Source: RNAcentral